CAGGCUUCUACACCAGGCCUGACCUGAAAUACAAGCACAAAAGACUUUAAAAUCAGAAUGCCUUAUAUACAAAAAAUAUCAUUGAAUUUUCUCCAUGUCUUUCAUGUUGAGAACUAUACAAAUGCCAACAGCACCACACCCUCCAAAUGUAAGGAAACAGGUUUUAUUGCCAUCCCCUGGAGCAGUUAUCCAUGAACAGCUGUUCUCCCUAAACACAGUCCUUUGAUCCAAAAACCAUUGCCAAAUCCAGAGCAGAGUCUUAGUAGAGCCUGAAUGAGAGAACCCAAUGGUCUAGAGUCAAUGCGAGGCCAUCUAGUAUGAAGAGACUCAAACCUGUGAAUGAGCCACCUGUACCUAAAUUUUGUGCCUCUUCAGUUUCCUCUUGGCCUUGAAUGCAGAGUGGAAUUUGCAGCACUAAUCAAGUGUUGCUGGACAGGCUGACAAUUGUAAUUUAAAGCCAUGAGCUCACUCUGCAAUGUGUAUUGCACUUACUGGCUUCAAUAUUUUCC
This 509-nucleotide long non-coding RNA is filed under the name Heterocephalus glaber (naked mole-rat). RNAcentral describes it as "lncRNA (ENSHGLG00000038068.1)". Lineage: Eukaryota; Metazoa; Chordata; Mammalia; Rodentia; Bathyergidae. The record is from RNAcentral.